Molecule: ribosomal RNA, 856 nt
Filed under: Kushneria phyllosphaerae
Lineage: Bacteria; Pseudomonadati; Pseudomonadota; Gammaproteobacteria; Oceanospirillales; Halomonadaceae
Description: bacterial SSU rRNA
Rfam family: Bacterial small subunit ribosomal RNA
Source: RNAcentral
GCAGUCGAGCGGUAACAGGGGUAGCUUGCUACCCGCUGACGAGCGGCGGACGGGUGAGUAAUGCAUGGGUAUCUGCCCGGUAGUGGGGGAUAACUCGGGGAAACCCGAGCUAAUACCGCAUACGUCCUACGGGAGAAAGCAGGGGAUCUUCGGACCUUGCGCUAUCGGAUGAGCCCAUGUCGGAUUAGCUUGUUGGUGAGGUAACGGCUCACCAAGGCGACGAUCCGUAGCUGGUCUGAGAGGAUGAUCAGCCACACCGGGACUGAGACACGGCCCGGACUCCUACGGGAGGCAGCAGUGGGGAAUAUUGGACAAUGGGGGAAACCCUGAUCCAGCCAUGCCGCGUGUGUGAAGAAGGCCUUCGGGUUGUAAAGCACUUUCAGUGGGGAAGAAGGCAUGAUGAUUAAUACUCGUCAUGAAGGACAUCACCCACAGAAGAAGCACCGGCUAACUCCGUGCCAGCAGCCGCGGUAAUACGGAGGGUGCAAGCGUUAAUCGGAAUUACUGGGCGUAAAGGGCGCGUAGGCGGCUUGCCAAGCCGGAUGUGAAAGCCCCGGGCUCAACCCGGGAACGGCAUUCGGAACUGGUAGGCUAGAGUGCAGGAGAGGAAGGUGGAAUUCCCGGUGUAGCGGUGAAAUGCGUAGAGAUCGGGAGGAAUACCAGUGGCGAAGGCGGCCUUCUGGACUGACACUGACGCUGAGGCGCGAAAGCGUGGGUAGCAAACAGGAUUAGAUACCCUGGUAGUCCACGCCGUAAACGAUGUCGACCAGCCGUUGGACCCCUUGAGGGUUUGGUGGCGCAGUUAACGCAAUAAGUCGACCGCCUGGGGAGUACGGCCGCAAGGCUAAAACUCAAA